GACGAACGCUGGCGGCGCGCUUAACACAUGCAAGUCGAACGGAAAGGCCUGCUUUCCCUUGUGGAUUGCGGGUACUCGAGUGGCGAACGGGUGAGUAACACGUGAGUGAUCUGCCCCCAACUUGGGUAUAAGCCUGGGAAACUGGGUCUAAUUCCCGAUAGGACUGCAGGGUGGUGCCUGUGGUGGAAAACGAUUUUCUAGUGGUUGGGGAUGAGCUCGCGGCCUAUCAGCUUGUUGGUGGGGUAAUGGCCUACCAAGGCGGCGACGGGUAGCCGGCCUGAGAGGGUGGACGGCCACAUUGGGACUGAGAUACGGCCCAGACUCCUACGGGAGGCAGCAGUGGGGAAUAAUGCACAAUGGGCGGAAGCCUGAUGCAGCGACGCCGCGUGGGGGAUGACGGCCUUCGGGUUGUAAACUCCUUUCGACCGCGAGGAAGCCACCUGGUUGGAAGGGUGGUGACGGUAGUGGUAGAAGAAGCACCGGCUAACUACG
This 492-nucleotide ribosomal RNA is filed under the name uncultured bacterium. Its description in RNAcentral is "partial 16S ribosomal RNA". It matches the Rfam family "Bacterial small subunit ribosomal RNA", at positions 28 to 505 of the family's 1533-position model. The record is from RNAcentral.